This is a long non-coding RNA of Prosopis cineraria, 390 nucleotides long. RefSeq lists it as uncharacterized. The transcript has 3 exons. NCBI's taxonomy places the organism in Eukaryota, Viridiplantae, Streptophyta, Magnoliopsida, Fabales, Fabaceae. The record is from RefSeq and is a predicted model, not a curated record.
UGAUGAGUAAUCAAAACUUUCACCAUUUGACUGCACUUUCAGUUCAUUAUUCUGUGUAAUACUGGAUGGAACGCGAGAACUUUUAGCGUCAGUAACUGUGCCUGCAAGCAUGAUAGAAACAAGGGUGAAAGUCAGAGCGCUAAAAUUGCAGCUUAAAGACCCAGAUGAAAGAGUUGGUCCACAACAAAAUUUCAGGUGUCUUAAUGGAGGCAAUCUUGUUCGAGGCACAAUUAAGCACUAAACAUGAGCACUUUCCCUAAUGGGGAUUUGAACCUUAGUUCACUAUGUUGUGAAGGACUAGUCCCUUUCACUAAACCCAACCCCCUCAAUUUGCAUCUUAGUGUCUCUAAACUUCAAAGAGCAUUGCAGAUCAUUUUUUAUCAUUAUUUG